GACGUAGGGCGCGAGCGUUGUCCGGAUUUAUUGGGCGUAAAGAGCUCGUAGGCGGCUUGUCGCGUCGACUGUGAAAACCCGCGGCUCAACCGCGGGCCUGCAGCCGAUACUGGCAGGCUUGAAUCCGGGAGAGGGAUGCGGAAUUCCAGGUGUAGCGGUGAAAUGCGUAGAUAUCUGGAGGAACACCGGUGGCGAAGGCGGCAUCCUGGACCGGCAUUGACGCUGAGGCGCGAAAGCCAGGGGAGCAAACGGG
This 253-nucleotide ribosomal RNA is filed under the name uncultured bacterium. Its description in RNAcentral is "partial 16S ribosomal RNA". It matches the Rfam family "Bacterial small subunit ribosomal RNA", at positions 524 to 776 of the family's 1533-position model. The record is from RNAcentral.